AAUAAACACAACGUGAAUAUUAUGAUUAAUAACUAAAUAUUAUUAUUGUGGCAGGCCUAACUGUUUAAUUUAUUAUUAAUUAACAAUAUUUCCAGAAUAUAUGCAAACACUGAAUAAGUUUAAUAAUUAAAAAUAAUAAUAAAGUUUAUUUUUUAUUAUUUAAUAGUAAAAAAACUGGUGUUAACUAGUAACGUUAAUUAGUUAAAAGAAUACUUUCAUAGGUAGUGAAAAUUAACCAGUACACUAAUUGUAAAGGGAUUGGCCCACUUACUAGAUGAUACAUGUGUAUAUUCAGUGUUUUUAUUAUUUAAAAAAUAUUUUUUUUUAAAAGGACAAAACGAUGAAAUGUGUGUAAAUACGAAAACAAACCGUACAAAAAUAUUAUUGCUCAACAAAUAAAAAAAUAAACAGCUUUAACGUCGACAAACACUGACUAGGGCAUCAACCUUAGCGUCAGCUUGGACUCGUUUAGCUAACGUUACCUCUUUCUCAUUAGCGUCAAAUUAGCGUCCAAACUGUAACUUAACUAGCUAACUAUGUUAAAUAUGACCCAAACAAUUAGACCAGGUAACGAAUUAAACCCACAAAACGCGGCUUGUGCAUCGUUAAAAGUUCGCCAACCUGUUGCUAGCCCUUCGUAAGAGACACAUUUCAUUUUUCAUCAACAACAUUUAAAGUUUUAAUCGUGAACAAGAUGAGAAAACGAUGUUAAAACGACCCCAGCGCGUUUACAAAGCUGCUCCGAUCAAAGUGCACAGCGAGGGGGGAACGAGCGAGCGAGCGAGAACUCCCGAGGCUAGCUAACUUCACUAGGUUCCACUUCCUCUUCUCUUCUACAAGGAUGGACUCCCCCAGGAGCUCAAUAGUGGAAUUCACGCAGGCAAUUUGGAAGCCGUUUUGAUUUAUUGCACUGAAUAUCAGGUUGUACUGACCCUGUAAG
Astyanax mexicanus (Mexican tetra) is the source of this 940-nucleotide long non-coding RNA. RefSeq lists it as uncharacterized. The transcript has 3 exons. The record is from RefSeq and is a predicted model, not a curated record. NCBI's taxonomy places the organism in Eukaryota, Metazoa, Chordata, Actinopteri, Characiformes, Acestrorhamphidae.